GAUGAAGAACGCAGCGAAAUGCGAUAAGUAGUGUGAAUUGCAGAAUUCAGUGAAUCAUCGAAUCUUUGAACGCACAUUGCGCCCUUUGGUAUUCCUUAGGGCAUGCCUGUUCGAGCGUCAUUUACACCCUCAAGCCUAGCUUGGUGUUGGGCGUCUGUCCCGCCGUUUUCGCGCGCGGACUCGCCUCAAAGUCAUUGGCGGCGGUCGUGCCGGCCCCCUCGCGCAGCACAUUUGCGCUUCUCGGAGGCCCGGCGGAUCCGCGCUCCAGCAAGACCUUUCACGACUUGACCUCGGAUCAGGUAGGGAUACCCGCUGAACUUAAGCAUAUCAAUAAGCGGAGGA
Molecule: unclassified non-coding RNA, 342 nt
Filed under: soil metagenome
Description: partial contains 5.8S ribosomal RNA, internal transcribed spacer 2, and large subunit ribosomal RNA
Rfam family: 5.8S ribosomal RNA (bases 1-120)
Source: RNAcentral